UGGGGAAUAUUGCACAAUGGAGGGAACUCUGAUGCAUCGACGCCGCGUGAGUGAUGAAGGAAUUCGUUUCGUAAAACUCUGUUCUAUGGGAAGAAAAGGACUGUACCAUAGGAGAAAGCUCCGGCUAAAUACGUGCCAGCAGCCGCGGUAAUACGUAUGGAGCGAGCGUUGUCCGGAAUUAUUGGGCGUAAAGGGUGCGCAGGCGGCUUUACAAGUUGGAUGUGAAAUAUUGUGGCUCAACCACAAACGUGCAUCCAAAACUGCAAAGCUUGAGUUAAGGAGAGGUAAGUGGAAUUCCUGGUGUAGCGGUGGAAUGCGUAGAUAUCAGGAGGAAUACCGGUGGCGAAGGCGACUUACUGGACUUAAACUGACGCUCAGGCACGAAAGCGUGGGGAGCAAACAGG
Molecule: ribosomal RNA, 404 nt
Filed under: Fusobacteriota bacterium
Lineage: Bacteria; Fusobacteriati; Fusobacteriota
Description: Fusobacteria bacterium partial 16S ribosomal RNA
Rfam family: Bacterial small subunit ribosomal RNA
Source: RNAcentral